Molecule: transfer RNA, 67 nt
Filed under: Acanthosaura lepidogaster
Lineage: Eukaryota; Metazoa; Chordata; Lepidosauria; Squamata; Agamidae
Description: tRNA-Gly
Source: RNAcentral
UCCACCCUAGCAUAACAGUGCCGUUGGCUUCCAUCCUUCACGUCUUAGUAAAACCUAAGGGGUGGCA